This 468-nucleotide ribosomal RNA is filed under the name uncultured bacterium. RNAcentral's name for it is "partial 16S ribosomal RNA". It matches the Rfam family "Bacterial small subunit ribosomal RNA", at positions 28 to 507 of the family's 1533-position model. The record is from RNAcentral.
GACGAACGCUGGCGGCGUGCUUAACACAUGCAAGUCGAACGGAAAGGCCCUGCUUUUGUGGGGUGCUCGAGUGGCGAACGGGUGAGUAACACGUGAGUAACCUGCCCUUGACUUUGGGAUAACUUCAGGAAACUGGGGCUAAUACCGGAUAGGAGCUCCUGCUGCAUGGUGGGGGUUGGAAAGUUUCGGCGGUUGGGGAUAGACUCGCGGCUUAUCAGCUUGUUGGUGGGGUAGUGGCUUACCAAGGCUUUGACGGGUAGCCGGCCUGAGAGGGUGACCGGGCACCUUGGGACUGAGAUACGGACCAGACGCCUACGGUGGGCAGCAGUGGGGAAUAUGGCACAAUGGGCGGAAGCCUGAUGCAGCAACGCCGCGUGCGGGAUGACGGCCUUCGGGUUGUAAACCGCUUUCGCCUGUGACGAAGCGUGAGUGACGGUAAUGGGUAAAGAAGCACCGGCUAACUACGUG